RNAcentral lists this ribosomal RNA (404 nucleotides) under Rahnella sp. OOS92. Its description in RNAcentral is "bacterial SSU rRNA". It matches the Rfam family "Bacterial small subunit ribosomal RNA", at positions 991 to 1394 of the family's 1533-position model. The record is from RNAcentral. Lineage: Bacteria; Pseudomonadati; Pseudomonadota; Gammaproteobacteria; Enterobacterales; Yersiniaceae.
CGGGAAUUCGCCGAGAUGGCUUAGUGCCUUCGGGAACCGUGAGACAGGUGCUGCAUGGCUGUCGUCAGCUCGUGUUGUGAAAUGUUGGGUUAAGUCCCGCAACGAGCGCAACCCUUAUCCUUUGUUGCCAGCACGUAAUGGUGGGAACUCAAAGGAGACUGCCGGUGAUAAACCGGAGGAAGGUGGGGAUGACGUCAAGUCAUCAUGGCCCUUACGAGUAGGGCUACACACGUGCUACAAUGGCAUAUACAAAGAGAAGCGAACUCGCGAGAGCAAGCGGACCUCAUAAAGUAUGUCGUAGUCCGGAUUGGAGUCUGCAACUCGACUCCAUGAAGUCGGAAUCGCUAGUAAUCGUAGAUCAGAAUGCUACGGUGAAUACGUUCCCGGGUCUUGUACACACCGUA